This 326-nucleotide ribosomal RNA is filed under the name Mesobuthus gorelovi. Its description in RNAcentral is "partial 16S ribosomal RNA". Lineage: Eukaryota; Metazoa; Arthropoda; Arachnida; Scorpiones; Buthidae. The record is from RNAcentral.
CUAGAAUGAAAGGGUAAACUGGAAAAGACUUUUUUAAGGUUAAAAAAUGAAGUUGACUUUUUAGUAAGAAGGCUAAAAUAACUCUUAAAGACAAGAAGACCCUAUAAAACUUUAUAUUUACUAUUUUAGGAAAGGAAAUAAAUAUUUUGCUGGGGCGGUAGGAAAAAUAACUUUUCUUAAUUUUAAAGACUUAAUGAGUCUUAAUACCUAAAAUUUUUAAAAUAAGAAUAAGUUACUUUAGGGAUAACAGCUUAAUUCACUUUAAAAGUUCUAAUUGACAAGUGAGUUUAUGACCUCGAUGUUGAAUUAAAAGUCCUCUUUAGCGC